UGAAGAGUUUGAUCAUGGCUCAGAUUGAACGCUGGCGGCAGGCCUAACACAUGCAAGUCGAACGGUAACAGGAAGCAGCUUGCUGCUUUGCUGACGAGUGGCGGACGGGUGAGUAAUGUCUGGGAAACUGCCUGAUGGAGGGGGAUAACUACUGGAAACGGUGGCUAAUACCGCAUAACGUCGCAAGACCAAAGAGGGGGACCUUCGGGCCUCUUGCCAUCAGAUGUGCCCAGAUGGGAUUAGCUUGUUGGUGAGGUAACGGCUCACCAAGGCGACGAUCCCUAGCUGGUCUGAGAGGAUGACCAGCCACACUGGAACUGAGACACGGUCCAGACUCCUACGGGAGGCAGCAGUGGGGAAUAUUGCACAAUGGGCGCAAGCCUGAUGCAGCCAUGCCGCGUGUAUGAAGAAGGCCUUCGGGUUGUAAAGUACUUUCAGCGGGGAGGAAGGUGUUGUGGUUAAUAACCGCAGCAAUUGACGUUACCCGCAGAAGAAGCACCGGCUAACUCCGUGCCAGCAGCCGCGGUAAUACGGAGGGUGCAAGCGUUAAUCGGAAUUACUGGGCGUAAAGCGCACGCAGGCGGUCUGUCAAGUCGGAUGUGAAAUCCCCGGGCUCAACCUGGGAACUGCAUUCGAAACUGGCAGGCUUGAGUCUUGUAGAGGGGGGUAGAAUUCCAGGUGUAGCGGUGAAAUGCGUAGAGAUCUGGAGGAAUACCGGUGGCGAAGGCGGCCCCCUGGACAAAGACUGACGCUCAGGUGCGAAAGCGUGGGGAGCAAACAGGAUUAGAUACCCUGGUAGUCCACGCCGUAAACGAUGUCUACUUGGAGGUUGUGCCCUUGAGGCGUGGCUUCCGGAGCUAACGCGUUAAGUAGACCGCCUGGGGAGUACGGCCGCAAGGUUAAAACUCAAAUGAAUUGACGGGGGCCCGCACAAGCGGUGGAGCAUGUGGUUUAAUUCGAUGCAACGCGAAGAACCUUACCUGGUCUUGACAUCCACAGAACUUUCCAGAGAUGGAUUGGUGCCUUCGGGAACUGUGAGACAGGUGCUGCAUGGCUGUCGUCAGCUCGUGUUGUGAAAUGUUGGGUUAAGUCCCGCAACGAGCGCAACCCUUAUCC
This 1116-nucleotide ribosomal RNA is filed under the name Salmonella enterica. RNAcentral describes it as "bacterial SSU rRNA". It matches the Rfam family "Bacterial small subunit ribosomal RNA", at positions 1 to 1110 of the family's 1533-position model. The record is from RNAcentral. RNAcentral also lists the same sequence under 1 other name. Lineage: Bacteria; Pseudomonadati; Pseudomonadota; Gammaproteobacteria; Enterobacterales; Enterobacteriaceae.